GCCCAGGGGAUUCUCUCUUGCAAUGCUCUCAUUUUGUGAUCAUGGAAACCCAAAGUUUGGAGGUCAGUUACUUGCCCAAGGUCUACCAGCUGGUUAUAGAGCCCAGUUCCUGAGCCAGUGUCACUAUAGCAGGCUUUCAUCUGACACUUGGGAGUGAGGAGUCCAAUGAAUAGAUUAAUAACCAUAAUAAUAACUCUCAGUAGUUAGGCUCUUCUGAUAGUCCCCAAAUUCUUUAUAUUAUUUCACUUAUGCCUCCCUACAAUCCCAUGGUCAAUCCCAUGGUAGACAGAGGCGAGAUGUUUAUUUGUACAAGGUCACUAACCUUAAAUUGUCCAGAACCCAUGGUCUUAAGCAGUAACUCAAGCGCCCCGUGCUCAUGAGUAUUAUGAAGUCCUGUCAUGUCCAGGAUUUCACUACAGUCUUGCCCGCAGAAACGACAGCUACAUCCCUGUUGUACAGAUGAAGAAACUGAGGCGCAGAGAAUUCUCUUCUAGGGGAAGAGAUAAGUGACAGCAGUUAAUUGAAAAGAAUGUUUCCCAUUUUGCUUCUGUAACAUUUAACUCCUUGGCUUGUCCUUGCCUUCUGUUUCUGGUCAUUCUGGCAGUGAGCUAAGACCCUUAAUUGAAGCCCCAAGUCUUACCACAGAUUUCCCUCCGAAGUGCUCCUAAAUACGGAGAUGUGUUAACAAAUGGAGGAGAGAGGUUCUUGAACUUAAGAAGCACAGCUAACAUGUUUUGAGCAUGUAUGUGCCAGACACUGUGUUAAGCACUCAUACACAUGAAUGUUCUCAAUCCUUAACAACAGUUUCAUCAGGUAGAGACAUCUGUUUUACUACUCUCAUCCCCUUUCAUAGAUCCUGAAACAGAGGCUCAAGGUGGUUCAUUAACUUACCCAAGGUUACCCAGCCAGUAAGAAGUAUGCCUGAGGCUGCCUACCAGCAAGCUCACCGGAAGAAAUUCAUGUGCAUUUUGCCUUCUCAUUCCAUAACCAGUUCUUGUUUCUCUUAGUUUGUAAUGUGUUCACUUAUCUAAUGGUCAAGUAUUAACCUUUUCCCCGUAGAUUUCUGAGUAAAAUGUACAUUCUGGAAACUAGUGCAGUGGUUCAAUGGCUUCACGGGUCCCCAUACCAGAUUUGGGAAAAAGUGACUCCUUGCCUUCAAUUGGUCAACAAGUAUUCAAGUGCCAGCUGUGGUUUCUGAGCUGUAGGGAACAUGAAAGAUAGGAAAGAAGAUUUUAUGGCCUCAUGGAGCCUAAGAGGAAUAACAGUAAAACUGUAAUGCUCAGUGUAGAAUAGCUUACAGUUGCUCACAGGGCAAUAAGUGAAAGUCAACAUUGAGGGAGCUGGUCAAGGCUGGCAUAACAGGAAGACCACUCCAAGGAGGUGGACUUUGACCAGGUUUUGGAGCACAAGAAGGGUUGGGCAGGCUGACGGCCAGUGGUCUGCAGUUACAAAUAUUCCUGAAUUCUUAUGCAUCCGUUCCCCCUCCAGAAGUUCAGCUCCAUGAAUGCCAGGUCCUUCUGUUUCCUUCAUGCUGUAUUUCUAGCACUUAGAAUAAGUAUUUGUGGACUACCUGAAUGAAUCUAGUGACCUUGGGCUGGGCAGGAUUCUAAGUUGUACUAGACACAGCCUUUGGGGUUGGGUUAGAUCAGGGGUAACCUGCCCCGUUGUUUCCAGAGCCAGUCAGGUAAGGAAGAAGAGACCAUGAGAAUGAAUAAAGAUACUUUAUGUGUGUGUUGGGGGGUGGUGUGCAGUUUGCAUAGCUUGCAGCCUGGGGAUUUCAUGUCUGCCUCCUGGAAGACCAGUUGGGCAAGAUCCUUCCCUGGGCAACCUCAUCUGUGCUGUAAUCUAUGAGUGCCCUUCAAAGACGUGAGUCCAUGGAGGCCACAUCCAUUCAUUUAUUCAGCACCUGUCUUGAGUGGCUCCUAAGUACCCCUAUGAUGGACAGAGUGUUGAGGAUAGCUUUGAACAAGACAUCCACGUUCUCUUCCCUCUCAGUGAACUUAAAUUCUUGAGGCAAGAAACACAAGAGGAACAAAUCACUUAAAUGAAUAGCUCUGGCAGGACACGUGAAGAAAAUAACACGGGCUCAUGUUAUACAGAAUGACUAGGGCAGACUAAUUUAGGUGAGGGAGGCCUCUUGGCAAAGGGAUCUGCCAUCUCUUUUUCAAGAGGUACCCAAGUCAGGAUUUUUAUGUGAAAUGUCCACAUUUUUAAAUGGUGGCUCCAAGUGGUUGGUUGUUUUUUUUAAAGAAACAUACUGUAGGCCCAACAAAGCAUGAUGUGUCAGUUGGUCUCCAGGGCCCCGUUCCACCGCAGGAUGAUCUGCUGUCCCAGGCCUCCGGUCCUCUGAUGAUAGAGUAUCUAGGGCACUUUCUUUUAUGGUGGAUAGCCGCGUCAUGAGAAUGCGCCUCACAUGUUGUAAUAAACCAGGUCUUCUGCAAAGGCAGAGAGGGGAGAUAUUUUUCCACCGGGAUCAGGAAAGGCACAAUGACAGAGGUGUCCUUCCCGUAAGACCCAAAAGGGUGGGUGGCAGAAUCAUGACCAUCACAUGGCUGCCUUAGAGAUCAAGGAUUACUAGUGAGUCCUUGGACCACGCGGUGUGUAUAAGGCAACGGUAGAAGAUAAGGUCUGAAAGGUGUGUUGGAGCCAAACUGGGGGGUCUUCAUACCUGAUGCACAUGUUUUGUGGAAUGUGGAGAGGGACCUGCUGAGGAUUUUGAACUAGGGGAAUGACGCAUCAAUCACAGGUUUUAAGAGAAUUAAACUGUGGUGAUGGGCAAGGAGGAGUGGAGUCAGGGAGCCCAGUUUAGGAGGGAAUUGCAGCUAUUCGGGUGUGAGGUGAUAAUACUAAGGGGGUGAUGGGGUUUGGAUAGGAAGUGGCCAUUGUGCAAGAUGGUGGACAUAACAGGCUGGGGCCUCAGUGAAGGCCUUGCCCUGAAGGCAGAGUAGAGGUGGAAUUCUAUGAUCCCAUCAGGGCUUUGAUCCUCUGGCAUUGAGACAGUUCAGAAGCCUGCAGGAAGAGCUGGCUUGGGGGAGAUGAUAAACAUUUGUCUUAAAUGUGCAGUGGUUGAGGUGCUGGUGGGCGGGAGGUCAUCCACUAGGAAAUCAGGCCAGUUAACCAGGAAAAGGUCAAAGCUGGGGAUGGAGAUUGAAGAGUAGUCACUGUGGAGUUGAGGCUAGAGGUGAGAGAAGAUAGACCUGGGAAGUCAGGUCAGGUGAGGAAAGUGUGAUAGAAAACUGAAGGAAGGUGAACUUUUCAAGGAGUGGUUAGUGGAUGCCAGGGAUCAUGCUGCAGAGGACAGCAGGGAUGACGAGGCCAUGAAAGGAGUCAUGGGAUUUGGCAGUUGGGAGGUCGGCCUUUGACAGAGAAGUCAGAUGAAGGGGUCCAAGUCUAGAUAAGCCAAAAAGAGGUCGGGAGUGAGUGGAUGAUGGCAAGUAGAGGCAGCUGUUUUCUUUGGAGAAGGGUCAAGAAACUUUUCAGUGAGCUGUUUUACUUUUUGUCCUUGUGGAUUGGUCUGUUCUGAACACUUCACAGAAAUGGAAUAUGUGGCCUCCUUCCCUUAGCAUGGCUUUAUGGUUCAUCAGUGUUGCAGCAGAGUGUUCCCUUGUGUGGAUACAUCAUGUUUUAUUUGUCCAUUCAUCAGUUGACCAACAUUUAGGCUGUUUCUACUUUUGAACUGUUAUAAAUGAAGCUGCUGUGAACAUUUGUGGGCAGGAGUUUGUCUGGACAUAGCCUUUUGUUUCUCAUGUGUAGAUCCUCUACUUUUUUUUUAAUUUAAAAAAAAUUUUUUUUUGUUUUUAACAUUUAUUCACCUUUGAGAGACAGAGAGAGACAGAGCGUGAGCAGGGGAGGGACAGAGAGAGAGGGAGAUACAGAAUCAGAAGCAGGCUCCAGGCGCUGAGCUGUCAGCACAGAACCUGGCGCGGGGCUUGAACCCAUGAACGGCGAGACCAUGACCUGAGCCAAAGUCGGACACUUAACCGACUGAGCCACCCAGGCGCCCCAAUCCUCUACAUUUUUUGUUGCUGUUUGUAUUUUUCCUAGGCCCUGUAAUAAUACCGGUUAUUCCCUUGCUUAACUUUCUGUGUUCUCUCAAUGAAUUCUGCCCUAGUUCUUGUGACAGCAACUCUCAAUAUGAAGUUAGCUCCUUUUACCCCCUUGUCGCUCCCUCUUUUUUGCCCCAUCUGAUGUUUGUCUAGCUCCAGUGUCCCGCACUUAUCCUGGGAUUACCUUAGUCAUCACCCUGGGGAGUGAUAAUUGAAGCCACUGUUCCCUAGGUGGUAUUUUUUCACUCAUUUUGAUGGAGCACAUCCUCCAGCAGCUUCUUCAGAAAGAGUACAUUAGAAGUAAAUUUAGGGUGGGGGCGGGGGGCCUUGUCUGUCUUACAAUAUCUUUGUUCUACCCUCAUGUCAGUUUGAUAGUUUGGAUGAGUUUGGAAUUUUAGGUUGGACCUAAUUUUAUAUCAGAAGUUUGAUGGGGCUCCUAGGUGACUCAUCAGUUAAGCAUCUGUCUUCAGCUCGGUUCAUGAGUUUGAGCCUCUCAUCUGGCUCUCUGCUGUCAGCUCAGAGCCUGGAGGCUGCUUCAGAUUCUGUCUCCCUCUCUCUCUCUGCCCCUCCCCCACUCGCACUUGGUCAGUCUCUCUCUCCCUCUCUCUCUCUCUCUCUCUCUCUCUCAAAAAUAAAAACAUUAAAAGAAAUGAAAAAAGAAAAAGGCAUCGCCUAACUGUCUUCUAGCUUCUGCUCAUUGAGAUCUGAUACCAAUUGAUUCCCUUUCCUUCAUGUGCCAGCUGUUUUCUCCUCUGGAAGUUUGUAGGGUCUUGUCUUUAUCCUGGGUGUUCUGAAUUCCAUGGCAAUACACACUGAUGUGACUGAACUGUCAGUCGCUGUCUCUACUUCGUGGGCUCUGGUGGGGGUGGGGGUGGGGCUCACUGUGUCAGAUACCCGCAUUCAUGUGGUCCUCCUGCUGGUAGCCCACGCGGUGCCCCAGCCUGCGGAGGAACUUCCUUCCCGUUCGAAGCCUUUGGGUGGCACUGCCUGUCCUCGGCUGUCUUCUCCCUGCGGUCAGCUCCAUCUUUGAAAGAGACCCCGACACCAGCCGGCAGCGAAGGGGUACUCUGCAGAGGUGUUGUGUGAGCCCCCGGCCAGGGUGUCCGCGUCUGGUGGGAAGUUUGGAGUGGCCAACCCGGUGAGCCAGGGGUGAGUGUUGGGAGGGUGUGGCCAACACCCCACUGGGAGGUGAGGAGAGGUGUGGAAACCAAACACGAUUCUCCGGUGAGUCAUACUUGGGGAAACUGCUCAGUGAGGUAAAGCACAGAUCUACUUUUCUACCCCUGUGUAUAGCUUUUUCAAGACAAACUUUGUUUUGACACUUGAGUAUACAUCACUGUGGUUAAUGUCUGGGUUGAAAGUACAGCUGUUGCUCACAGCUUAUUUAGUUUCUACCCGGUUUUAGCUCCUGAUCUGCUCUCAUCCCAUUCCAUUUCCUGGGAUAUAAAGUUUUCUGGGGUCGCUCGCUCGAGCCACUGAACCAGUCUCCUUGGGUUUCUCCUCCCUCCCGGGUGUGUUUGGCUUUGCCCUUGACAAACACUCUCACUCACACCCUUUGGCCUAAUGUUCACUGAACAGUCUUUUCUGUUGUUCUCCUACUCAGCCCAUGUAUUGGCAUUUUUUAAAAAUAUAUUUUUGUAUUUGUCUCCACUGGAUCUCUUCUGUCCUCCAUUUCAUAGUUUAAAAAGUUCUUAAAAAACUUUAUUCAAAAAGCGCGUUCUGAUGAUCAAAUCGUCUGUCUGUAUCUCCUGGAUGCUGUCUGAGCUUGAUUAACACGUGCACGAAUUGUUACAACAUUUUCACUGACAGGUUGCUAGAUGUUGAAACAGUUGAGCUUUAAUAGACGGAUGAUCCAGCCUAACCCCCCACCCUUCAC
This is a long non-coding RNA of Acinonyx jubatus (cheetah), 5922 nucleotides long. RefSeq lists it as uncharacterized. The record is from RefSeq and is a predicted model, not a curated record. The transcript is spliced from 2 exons. NCBI's taxonomy places the organism in Eukaryota, Metazoa, Chordata, Mammalia, Carnivora, Felidae.